UACGAAGGGGGCUAGCGUUGUUCGGAAUUACUGGGCAUAAAGGGCGCGUAGGCGGUGUGUCAAGUCAGGCGUGAAAGCCCCGGGCUCAACCUGGGAACCGCGCUUGAGACUGGCACGCUCGAGUUCGGGAGAGGAUGGUGGAAUUCCCAGUGUAGAGGUGAAAUUCGUAGAUAUUGGGAAGAACACCGAUGGCGAAGGCAGCCAUCUGGACCGACACUGACGCUGAGGCGCGAAAGCGUGGGGAGCAAACAGG
This 253-nucleotide ribosomal RNA is filed under the name uncultured bacterium. RNAcentral's name for it is "partial 16S ribosomal RNA". It matches the Rfam family "Bacterial small subunit ribosomal RNA", at positions 524 to 776 of the family's 1533-position model. The record is from RNAcentral.